GUCCCGUACAUUGAAAACCUGGGUUUUCAGGUGGCACCUGGAGAGAGCGUCAGUGUUGGCAUCUCACAAACAAAGGUAACGAAUUUACCGUCUCCAUAUGGGAAUUGUGCAGAAAAAAAUCUGGCAUAUUAUGAUUCGUAUUCUACGUUGAAUUGCAUAGCGGAGUGCACAUUGAAUUUUACGAUGGACAAUUGUGGCUGCCGGGCUUACUA
Lingula anatina is the source of this 212-nucleotide long non-coding RNA. NCBI's taxonomy places the organism in Eukaryota, Metazoa, Brachiopoda, Lingulata, Lingulida, Lingulidae. The record is from RefSeq and is a predicted model, not a curated record.